GCCCAAGUGGCGGAAUGGUAGACGCAGGAGAUUCAAAAUCUCCCGCCUUCACGGGCGUGCCGGUUCGAGUCCGGCCUUGGGUA
This 83-nucleotide transfer RNA is filed under the name Pelagimonas phthalicica. It matches the Rfam family "tRNA". Rfam says of the family: Transfer RNA (tRNA) molecules are approximately 80 nucleotides in length. Their secondary structure includes four short double-helical elements and three loops (D, anti-codon, and T loops). Further hydrogen bonds mediate the characteristic L-shaped molecular structure. tRNAs have two regions of fundamental functional importance: the anti-codon, which is responsible for specific mRNA codon recognition, and the 3' end, to which the tRNAs corresponding amino acid is attached (by aminoacyl-tRNA synthetases). tRNAs cope with the degeneracy of the genetic code in two manners: having more than one tRNA (with a specific anti-codon) for a particular amino acid; and 'wobble' base-pairing, i.e. permitting non-standard base-pairing at the 3rd anti-codon position. Lineage: Bacteria; Pseudomonadati; Pseudomonadota; Alphaproteobacteria; Rhodobacterales; Roseobacteraceae. The record is from Rfam by way of RNAcentral.